GACGAACGCUGGCGGCGUGCUUAACACAUGCAAGUCGAACGGAAAGGCCCUGCUUUUGUGGGGUGCCCGAGUGGCGAACGGGUGAGUAACACGUGAGUAACCUGCCCUUGACUUUGGGAUAACUUCAGGAAACUGGGGCUAAUACCGGAUAGGAGCUCCUGCUGCAUGGUGGGGGUUGGAAAGUUUCGGCGGUUGGGGAUGGACUCGCGGCUUAUCAGCUUGUUGGUGGGGUAGUGGCUUACCAAGGCUUUGACGGGUAGCCGGCCUGAGAGGGUGACCGGCCACAUUGGGACUGAGAUACGGCCCAGACUCCUACGGGAGGCAGCAGUGGGGAAUAUUGCACAAAGGGCGGAAGCCUGAUGCAGCAACGCCGCGUGCGGGAUGACGGCCUUCGGGUUGUAAACCGCUUUCGCCUGUGACGAAGCGUGAGUGACGGUAAUGGGUAAAGAAGCACCGGCUAACUACGUG
This 468-nucleotide ribosomal RNA is filed under the name uncultured bacterium. RNAcentral's name for it is "partial 16S ribosomal RNA". It matches the Rfam family "Bacterial small subunit ribosomal RNA", at positions 28 to 507 of the family's 1533-position model. The record is from RNAcentral.